Non-coding RNA from Marasmius tenuissimus, 95 nucleotides. NCBI's taxonomy places the organism in Eukaryota, Fungi, Basidiomycota, Agaricomycetes, Agaricales, Marasmiaceae. The record is from the annotation of a GenBank genome assembly.
ACACCGUUGGUGAAGUGGUUAUCAUGCUUGCCUUCCAUAGACGUCCGAUUUGUUUAGUGUAGCAAGCGGCUCGGGUUCGAUUCCCGAACGGUGUA